This 727-nucleotide ribosomal RNA is filed under the name Trichodorus minzi. Its description in RNAcentral is "eukaryotic LSU rRNA". It matches the Rfam family "Eukaryotic large subunit ribosomal RNA", at positions 397 to 946 of the family's 3401-position model. Lineage: Eukaryota; Metazoa; Nematoda; Enoplea; Triplonchida; Trichodoridae. The record is from RNAcentral.
GCGUAAAACCGCAUAGAAGUAAACGGUUGGUGCUGACAUUGUUUCUGCUGAAUUCAGCUGGUCUGACGGUUGACCGUCUGCAUGCCGAUCGCAAGACGGUGUGUAGAGUGUGCUCGAUCUAGGGCUGGUGCAUUUUCGGUAGAAUGCAUCAUGACCGCUGGCGCUGCUGGCAUAAGGCUGGUUGGUUGCCGUCUGCAGGUUUUCGGACUUGUAGUGCCCCACCUUCCGUGUCCUGUCCGAGUUAGCGUCAGCGGAUAACUGGACGUGCCCGACUAUGUCUCAUCUUGUGCUUUACGUUGGCUGAACGACCCGUCGAACCGUGCUUGCACGGCUUGGCAACCCUCAGUCUUCGUAGGGUGCCUGCUUGAGGCGGCACUGAAGGUCUAUGGUGUCCGCGUCAGUCUCCCAACCGACCCGUCUUGAAACACGGACCAAGGAGUCUAACAUGUGCGCAAGUCAUGGGGUUGAAAACCCAAAGGCGUAAUGAAAGUAAAGGCCGCAAGGCUGAGGUGUGAUGGUCGGUUUAACCGGCCCGCAACACCGCCCCAUCGCAUCGGCUCGUCCGGGCGGUGGAGGAAGAGCGUACACGUUGGGACCCGAAAGAUGGUGAACUAUGCCUGAGCAGGAUGAAGCCAGAGGAAACUCUGGUGGAGGUCCGUAGCGGUUCUGACGUGCAAAUCGAUCGUCAGACUUGGGUAUAGGGGCGAAAGACUAAUCGAACCAUCUA